CAAUAAGCGGAGGAAAAGAAACCAACAGGGAUUGCCCCAGUAACGGCGAGUGAAGCGGCAAAAGCUCAAAUUUGAAAUCCUGCGGGAAUUGUAAUUUGAAGGUUUCGUGGUCUGAGUCGGCCGCGCCCAAGUCCAUUGGAACAUGGCGCCUGGGAGGGUGAGAGCCCCGUAUGGCGCACGCCGACUCUUUGCACCGCGGCUCCGACGAGUCGAGUUGUUUGGGAAUGCAGCUCUAAGUGGGUGGUAAAUUCCAUCUAAAGCUAAAUAUUGGCGAGAGACCGAUAGCGAACAAGUACAGUGAUGGAAAGAUGAAAAGCACUUUGAAAAGAGAGUGAAACAGCACGUGAAAUUGUUGAAAGGGAAGGGCUUGCAAGCAGACACGGUUUUACCGGGCCAGCGUCGAAAAGGGGGGAGGAACAAGAACUCGAGAAUGUGGCGCGCACCUUCGGGCGCGCGUGUUAUAGCUCGUGUUGACGCCUCCAUCCCUUUUCGAGGCCUGCGAUUGUAGGACGUGGGUAUUCCCAA
Molecule: ribosomal RNA, 525 nt
Filed under: Clavispora lusitaniae
Lineage: Eukaryota; Fungi; Ascomycota; Pichiomycetes; Serinales; Metschnikowiaceae
Description: eukaryotic LSU rRNA
Rfam family: Eukaryotic large subunit ribosomal RNA
Source: RNAcentral